AGCAAUCUAUACCGUGAAACUGCGAAUGGCUCAUUAAAUCAGUUAUCGUUUAUUUGAUAGUACCUUACUACUUGGAUAACCGUGGUAAUUCUAGAGCUAAUACAUGCUAAAAACCUCGACUUCGGAAGGGGUGUAUUUAUUAGAUAAAAAACCAAUGCCCUUCGGGGCUCCUUGGUGAUUCAUGAUAACUUAACGAAUCGCAUGGCCUUGUGCCGGCGAUGGUUCAUUCAAAUUUCUGCCCUAUCAACUUUCGAUGGUAGGAUAGUGGCCUACCAUGGUUUCAACGGGUAACGGGGAAUUAGGGUUCUAUUCCGGAGAGGGAGCCUGAGAAACGGCUACCACAUCCAAGGAAGGCAGCAGGCGCGCAAAUUACCCAAUCCCGACACGGGGAGGUAGUGACAAUAAAUACUGAUACGGAGCUCUUUUGGGUUUCGUAAUUGGAAUGAGUACAAUUUAAAUCCCUUAACGAGGAACAAUUGGAGGGCAAGUCUGGUGCCAGCAGCCGCGGUAAUUCCAGCUCCAAUAGCGUAUAUUAAAGUUGUUGCAGUUAAAAAGCUCGUAGUUGAACCUUGGGCCUGGCUGGCCGGUCCGCCUCACCGCGUGCACUGGUCCGGCCGGGCCUUUCCUUCUGGGGAACCGCAUGCCCUUCACUGGGUGUGUCGGGGAUCCAGGACUUUUACUUUGAAAAAAUUAGAGUGUUCAAAGCAGGCCUAUGCUCGAAUACAUUAGCAUGGAAUAAUAGAAUAGGACGUGUGGUUCUAUUUUGUUGGUUUCUAGGACCGCCGUAAUGAUUAAUAGGGAUAGUCGGGGGCAUCAGUAUUCAAUUGUCAGAGGUGAAAUUCUUGGAUUUAUUGAAGACUAACUACUGCGAAAGCAUUUGCCAAGGAUGUUUUCAUUAAUCAGUGAACGAAAGUUAGGGGAUCGAAGACGAUCAGAUACCGUCGUAGUCUUAACCAUAAACUAUGCCGACUAGGGAUCGGGCGAUGUUAUUAUUUUGACUCGCUCGGCACCUUACGAGAAAUCAAAGUUUUUGGGUUCUGGGGGGAGUAUGGUCGCAAGGCUGAAACUUAAAGAA
This 1075-nucleotide ribosomal RNA is filed under the name Epithamnolia xanthoriae. RNAcentral's name for it is "SSU rRNA". It matches the Rfam family "Eukaryotic small subunit ribosomal RNA", at positions 68 to 1151 of the family's 1831-position model. Lineage: Eukaryota; Fungi; Ascomycota; Leotiomycetes; Phacidiales. The record is from RNAcentral.